GCCCACACUGGAACUGAGACACCGUCCAGACUCCUACGGGAGGCAGCAGUGGGGAAUAUUGCACAAUGGGCGCAAGCCUGAUGCAGCGACGCCGCGUGGGGGAUGAAGGCCUUNGGGUUGCAAACCCCUUUCAGCAGGGAAGAAGCGAAAGUGACGGUACCUGCAGAAGAAGCGCCGGCUAACUACGUGCCAGCAGCCGCGGUAAUACGUAGGGCGCAAGCGUUGUCCGGAAUUAUUGGGCGUAAAGAGCUCGUAGGCGGUCUGUCGCGUCUGCUGUGAAAACCCGAGGCUCAACCUCGGGCCUGCAGUGGGUACGGGCAGACUAGAGUGUGGUAGGGGAGACUGGAAUUCCUGGUGUAGCGGUGGAAUGCGCAGAUAUCAGGAGGAACACCAAUGGCGAAGGCAGGUCUCUGGGCCACUACUGACGCUGAGGAGCGAAAGCAUGGGGAGCGAACAGGAUUAGAUACCCUGGUAGUCCAUGCCGUAAACGGUGGGCACUAGAUGUGGGGCUCUUUCCAUGAGUUCCGCGUCGCAGCUAACGCAUUAAGUGCCCCGCCUGGGGAGUACGGCCGCAAGGCUAAAACUCAAAGGAAUUGACGGGGGCCCGCACAAGCGGCGGAGCAUGCGGAUUAAUUCGAUGCAACGCGAAGAACCUUACCAAGGCUUGACAUAUACCCUUUAUCCCUAGAGAUAGGGAGUCCUUCGGGGGGGUAUACAGGUGGUGCAUGGUUGUCGUCAGCUCGUGUCGUGAGAUGUUGGGUUAAGUCCCGCAACGAGCGCAACCCUCGUCCUAUGUUGCCAGCACGUAAUGGUGGGGACUCAUAGGAGACUGCCGGGGUCAACUCGGAGGAAGGUGGGGAUGACGUCAAAUCAUCAUGCCCCUUAUGUCUUGGGCUUCACGCAUGCUACAAUGGCCGGUACAAAGGGCUGCAAUACCGCAAGGUGGAGCGAAUCCCAAAAAGCCGGUCUCAGUUCGGAUUGAGGUCUGCAACUCGACCUCAUGAAGUGGAGUCGCUAG
Molecule: ribosomal RNA, 1018 nt
Filed under: Demequina aestuarii
Lineage: Bacteria; Bacillati; Actinomycetota; Actinomycetes; Micrococcales; Demequinaceae
Description: bacterial SSU rRNA
Rfam family: Bacterial small subunit ribosomal RNA
Source: RNAcentral